RNAcentral lists this ribosomal RNA (703 nucleotides) under uncultured bacterium. Its description in RNAcentral is "bacterial SSU rRNA". It matches the Rfam family "Bacterial small subunit ribosomal RNA", at positions 81 to 780 of the family's 1533-position model. The record is from RNAcentral.
UCCUUGGGUGACGAGUGGCGGACGGGUGAGUAAUGUCUGGGAAACUGCCCGAUGGAGGGGGAUAACUACUGGAAACGGUAGCUAAUACCGCAUAACGUCGCAAGACCAAAGAGGGGGACCUUCGGGCCUCUUGCCAUCGGAUGUGCCCAGAUGGGAUUAGCUAGUAGGUGGGGUAACGGCUCACCUAGGCGACGAUCCCUAGCUGGUCUGAGAGGAUGACCAGCCACACUGGAACUGAGACACGGUCCAGACUCCUACGGGAGGCAGCAGUGGGGAAUAUUGCACAAUGGGCGCAAGCCUGAUGCAGCCAUGCCGCGUGUAUGAAGAAGGCCUUCGGGUUGUAAAGUACUUUCAGCGAGGAGGAAGGCGUUGUGGUUAAUAACCGCAACGAUUGACGUUACUCGCAGAAGAAGCACCGGCUAACUCCGUGCCAGCAGCCGCGGUAAUACGGAGGGUGCAAGCGUUAAUCGGAAUUACUGGGCGUAAAGCGCACGCAGGCGGUCUGUCAAGUCGGAUGUGAAAUCCCCGGGCUCAACCUGGGAACUGCAUCCGAAACUGGCAGGCUAGAGUCUUGUAGAGGGGGGUAGAAUUCCAGGUGUAGCGGUGAAAUGCGUAGAGAUCUGGAGGAAUACCGGUGGCGAAGGCGGCCCCCUGGACAAAGACUGACGCUCAGGUGCGAAAGCGUGGGGAGCAAACAGGAUUA